This 207-nucleotide ribosomal RNA is filed under the name uncultured Peptostreptococcaceae bacterium. RNAcentral's name for it is "partial 16S ribosomal RNA". It matches the Rfam family "Bacterial small subunit ribosomal RNA", at positions 568 to 775 of the family's 1533-position model. The record is from RNAcentral. Lineage: Bacteria; Bacillati; Bacillota; Clostridia; Peptostreptococcales; Peptostreptococcaceae.
UGCGUAGGCGGUCCUACAAGUCAGAGGUGAAAGGCUACGGCUCAACCGUAGUAAGCCUUUGAAACUGUAGGACUUGAGUGCAGGAGAGGAGAGUGGAAUUCCCAGUGUAGCGGUGAAAUACGUAGAUAUUGGGAGGAACACCAGUUGCGAAGGCGGCUCUCUGGACUGUAACUGACGCUGAGGCACGAAAGCGUGGGGAGCGAACAG